RNAcentral lists this ribosomal RNA (171 nucleotides) under Melamphaes simus (ridgehead). RNAcentral describes it as "partial small subunit ribosomal RNA". The record is from RNAcentral. Lineage: Eukaryota; Metazoa; Chordata; Actinopteri; Beryciformes; Melamphaidae.
GACCGCGGUUAGACGAGCGACUCAAGCUGAUUGCCCUCGGCGUAAAGCGUGGUUAAGAAGUUAAAUUAGACUAAAGCCAAAGGCCCUCAAGGCUGUUAUACGCACCCGAGCAUACGAAGCCCCAUCACGAAAGUAGCUUUAACCCCUCCUGACCCCACGUAAGCUAGGGAA